GUGAAGAACGUAGCGAAAUGCGAUAAGUAAUGCGAAUUGCAGAAUUCAGUGAGUCAUCGAAUCUUUGAACGCACAUUGCGCCCUGUGGUAUUCCGCAGGGCAUGCCUGUUCGAGCGUCAUUUCAACCCUCAAGCCUCGCUUGGUGUUGGGCCCUGCCCGCCGCGGCCGGCCCUAAAGAUAGUGGCGGCGCCGCCUGGCCCUCAGCGUAGUACAGCUCUCGCUCCAGGGUCCGGCGGCAGCCUGCCAGAACCCCCCAACUCUGUGGUUGACCUCGGAUCAGGUAGGGAUACCCGCUGAACUUAAGCAUAUCAAUAAGCGGAGGA
This 323-nucleotide unclassified non-coding RNA is filed under the name soil metagenome. Its description in RNAcentral is "partial contains 5.8S ribosomal RNA, internal transcribed spacer 2, and large subunit ribosomal RNA". The stretch from base 2 to 119 matches the Rfam family "5.8S ribosomal RNA", at positions 37 to 154 of the family's 154-position model. The record is from RNAcentral.